This 1054-nucleotide long non-coding RNA is filed under the name Pan troglodytes (chimpanzee). Its description in RNAcentral is "lincRNA". The record is from RNAcentral. Lineage: Eukaryota; Metazoa; Chordata; Mammalia; Primates; Hominidae.
GCAAAAGGGAUAAAACUGGCAAUUCGCAAGAAAAUGCAAACGGCUGGCCGACCUGCGAAGGAAACAUCACGACCUAUUUGCAUAAAGAAAUGCAAACCUGAAACACCGGGCACGUGCGGUUUAGGGGAGCGGGCAGUCUCACACACUACUGAGUUGUUUCCCACCAGCCGUCAGUACAGACCUUCCACUGCGUAAGCCCACUGCAUUGCCAUUUAAUGAAACAGCAAGAAAAUGAGAGAGAAAAAUAAUGAGGUAGAAUUGUAUGGGAUUAUUAAGGAUUGAAUUCUCAGUAGAUUUAGUGAAAUAUACAAGUUACUGAAGUUUGUAGAAACGAACUGGUAAGUAAGUGUUUUCUCAUUUAUUUGUUUUUUAAGGAUAAACCCAAAUAUAGGUAAAACUGUUGGAAAGGUAGGCAAGAAAUUGUUGAUGAGUUACUUCUAGGGACAAGGAAUGUGGGGUGGAAGAGGGAUUUUUCCCUUCUGCCAUCCAUACUGUGAAUUUCCUUGGCAGAAAUACGUAUUUCUUCUCUGGCAGUAAAAUCAAUGAAUUACUAAAAGUUCACUAAUGUACUCUUUGGUCCAACUAUUCCACUCUCAAGGAACUAAAAAAGCAAAGGAAAUACAGGGAUAUACAGAAGAUUCUAUACAGGGAUAUUCACGGAGCAUCAUUUUUAUCACCAAAAAUGUGCUCCAUAGAAAAGAAUUAAACUGUAUUCUGGUAAAUUUACACAGCGCGAUUUUAACUGACUAAUAAAAAUGCUGUAUGAUUUUAACUUUAAAGGAAAAAAUCUGUAAGAUGUGGUUAAUUACCAAAAGGUGUUUACCUAAGGAGCACACAGACUUUAAUACCCCAAAUUAAACUUUAUAUUAUACUCAAGGAGUUAUCAGUGGUUGCUUGCUACACUGAGAAGCUGCUUUAUGUGUUUUAGACUCCCUAGACCAUCAACAGUCUCUUUUUGCCCAGCAGUGCCACAUAAACAUAAUAUACGAAUGAAAACACUGUGCUUCUUAUGAAAAUACACGUUCAAAACAAGUUCCCCAGCAGGAAGAUUGAA